GUAGAGGGCCACCAGGUCCCUCCCCACACGCCCGCUGUCCACGCGCUGCGGCCUUGGAGUAACUGCUGUUCUUAAAGGCUGCCUCCGUCCUGCCGCGCGGCCUUUAGAGGGUUGGAGCUGGCAGAACCGUAACUCCCUCUCUGAGGGUGAAUACGGGCCUUGAUUGCCAGAAGGGCCCUCGGCCGGGGACGCGGGAUGAUGCGGGGCCGGGAGAUGCUUUCCUGGAGGCUGAGAAACCUGGAGGGAGACCCCCAAAACUUCUCAGUUCGCCGACCCCUUGGUCCCAGAGGGAGAGGAGCAUCCCCAAAGAACAUUCAAGUCUGAGCCUCAAGGAGCCUCUGCGACUCGGUGUCUAGAUCCAGGAAAUGGAGAAUGAGCCGUGACUUUGGAUGCUUCACUCUUGUCCAUCAGGCUCGGAAUUGGUGAGCAUCUCCCACAUUACCGUCUCCAACGGAACAAGGUGCCCCAUUGGACAUUUCCUCUGCAUGGACCAGCCAUUCUCCAAAUCUGCCCCCAUGUCACCCCAGCUCCCCAUCGCAGUCACUUCUCACUCCUUGUCCCCUGUCCCCCUGAGUGACAGGACUUUUGCCAGUUAGGUCCUGUCCCUGUUUCUGAUCUUGGGUCCAUUCCCCAUGGUCCCUUUCUUGCUUGUGCCUUGGGAUCUCAGGCCUGUUGAAGUAGGAGGCAGGACUCAACUUCAGACCAGAUUGAAGACUGGCUGACACAGAAGAGGCACCAAAAGCACCUCUCUCUCCAUAAGACAUGCCCACCAGUGCCAUGACAGUUUACCAUUGCUAUGGCAAUGCCCAGAAGUUCUCACCCCUUUUCCAGACAUUUCUGCAUAAUCUACCCCUCAAUUGGCAUGUGAUCAAAAGUGGGUGUCAAAAUGACUGUGGAACUGUCCCUGAGCUGCUACUCUUGACAUGCUGGUUACAGGGUAGCCCGGCUCUGCAGGGACAGUCACGGAGCUGAAAAACUGCUGCCUAAUGAAGCUGUUUUCUUCUACCACCGGCUCACCCUCAAAUUAUUUCCUGAGCGAACUCAAGAACCUUCCUGGGCUAAGCCCCAAUUUUGGGGCUCGCCUGCCCCUGCAUCACAGCUUCCUCUUCUGUUCACAGCUGCAACCGCCUACUCAACCUUCUGCGGUUCCUCUCCCUGCCCCUCCACAGUGGCUGCUGAUGGGAGCUCUGGCUCCCUGCGUUUUCACUAUCUCCCAGUCAAAUGCAGAGUCCCUGUGCAAUUUAAAUGCUUCUCAGCUAAGAACAGAGAAGGGGAUAGCAUAAGGAUAUUCAAAAGAUUCAAGAAAUCUCAAAAGUGAUCACAAAA
Molecule: long non-coding RNA, 1326 nt
Organism: Homo sapiens (human)
Lineage: Eukaryota; Metazoa; Chordata; Mammalia; Primates; Hominidae
Source: Ensembl